Molecule: long non-coding RNA, 395 nt
Filed under: Acanthaster planci (crown-of-thorns starfish)
Lineage: Eukaryota; Metazoa; Echinodermata; Asteroidea; Valvatida; Acanthasteridae
Description: uncharacterized LOC110988297, transcript variant X7
Source: RNAcentral
UGCGCGCGCGAGUAUUAGCAUGACAAUGCUACGCACGAGAACGCAUGUGUGGCCACGUUGGCGGGUUUGUUUAAAUGUGACUUCACAGGAGGUGAGUUUAAAGCUAGAGCACAAGCCGCUUAUGAGUCGUUGCUGACAGGACGACCAGCUUCUUGGCAUUUCUUGAUGAUGGCCACUGUUGUUAAGACUGUGGUCUCCUGUAUUGGCCUUUAGUUGGACCGAGAGAGAAUACUAUUUCCUUGGCAUCAGAGGCUCCUUUGGUACAAACUGUGCAUCACUGGUUCAUGAACGACUAGGACAUGCAAGACGUGCAGCCCCAUCACUACCAACAAAAUGAAUACUCCCAACCAACAGGGCUCUUUUCAACCAAUUAAGUUGUGCUUCUACUCAAGGCA